UGACUGUCUGAAGGUAACCCAGUACUGACUGUCUGAAGGUAACCCAGUACUGGCUGUCUGAAGGUAACCCAGUACAGACUGUCUGAAGGUGACCCAGUACAGGCUGUCUGAAGGUAACCCAGUACAGGCUGUCUGAAGGUAACCCAGUACAGGCUGUCUGAAGGUGACCCAGUACAGACUGUCUGAAGGUAACCCAGUACUGACUGUCUGAAGGUGACCCAGUACUGACUGUCUGAAGGUAACCCAGUACUGACUGUCUGAAGGUAACCCAGUACUGACUGUCUGAAGGUAACCCAGUACUGACUGUCUGAAGGUAACCCAGUAAUGACUGUCUGAAGGUAACCCAGAACUGACUGUCUGAAGGUAACCCAGUACUGGCUGUCUGAAGGUAACCCAAUACUGACUGUCUGAAGGUAACCCAGUACUGGCUGUCUGAAGGUAACCCAGUACUGGCUGUCUGAAGGUAACCCAGUACUGGCUGUCUGAAGGUAACCCAGUACUGGCUGUCUGAAGGUAACCCAGUACUGGCUGUCUGAAGGUAACUCAGUACUGGCUGUCUGAAGGUAACUCAGUACUGGCUGUCUGAAGGUAACCCAGUACUGGCUGUCUGAAGGUAACCCAGUACUGGCUGUCUGAAGGUAACCCAGUACUGGCUGUCUGAAGGUGACCCAGUACUGGCUGUCUGAAGGUGACCCAGUACUGACUGUCUGAAGGUGACCCAGUACUGACUGUCUGAAGGUGACCCAGUACUGACUGUCUGAAGGUGACCCAGUACUGACUGUCUGAAGGUAACCCAGUACUGGGCCGGAAAAUGAAUGGAAGUGAAUAGGUCAUUUCCACAUCAAAGGGUCAUUCCACUGUAAAACAAUUAUAAAUAAAUCCUGAGCUUUCUUACAGCGCUCAGAUAUAAGACAGACACCUCGAAACAUACUUUAAAAAAAAAAUGAAAUGUUGUUGACUAGCUGUUUGACCAUGUUUAGACACAUCUCAGAAUGUCCUCUCCUUUCGGGUGUCGUUAAAAAGGUCCUUGUUCGUUUGUUGAAUUUUCUCAGUCGAAUGAAAAAGCAUUUAGAAAUGUAUUCUAAACUCAGUGUAUUUUUUAAUUAUUGAUUACUAAUAAACAGUAUUUAGCG
Molecule: long non-coding RNA, 1133 nt
Filed under: Salmo salar (Atlantic salmon)
Lineage: Eukaryota; Metazoa; Chordata; Actinopteri; Salmoniformes; Salmonidae
Description: lncRNA (ENSSSAG00000097827.1)
Source: RNAcentral